UACGUAGGGGGCAAGCGUUGUCCGGAUUUAUUGGGCGUAAAGAGCGUGUAGGCGGCUUGAUAGGUCCGUUGUGAAAACUCGAGGCUCAACCUCGAGACGCCGAUGGAAACCAUCUGGCUAGAGUCCGGAAGAGGAGAGUGGAAUUCCUGGUGUAGCGGUGAAAUGCGCAGAUAUCAGGAGGAACACCAAUGGCGAAGGCAGCUCGCUGGAACGGUACUGACGCUGAGGCGCGAAAGCGUGGGGAGCAAACAGG
This 253-nucleotide ribosomal RNA is filed under the name uncultured bacterium. RNAcentral's name for it is "partial 16S ribosomal RNA". It matches the Rfam family "Bacterial small subunit ribosomal RNA", at positions 524 to 776 of the family's 1533-position model. The record is from RNAcentral.